This 404-nucleotide ribosomal RNA is filed under the name Actinomycetes bacterium. Its description in RNAcentral is "Actinobacteria bacterium partial 16S ribosomal RNA". It matches the Rfam family "Bacterial small subunit ribosomal RNA", at positions 355 to 776 of the family's 1533-position model. The record is from RNAcentral. Lineage: Bacteria; Bacillati; Actinomycetota; Actinomycetes.
UGGGGAAUAUUGGACAAUGGGCGCAAGCCUGAUCCAGCCAUGCCGCGUGAGUGAUGAAGGCCUUAGGGUUGUAAAGCUCUUUUGUCCGGGAAGAUAAUGACUGUACCGGAAGAAUAAGCCCCGGCUAACUUCGUGCCAGCAGCCGCGGUAAUACGAAGGGGGCUAGCGUUGCUCGGAAUCACUGGGCGUAAAGGGCGCGUAGGCGGACUUUUAAGUCGGGGGUGAAAGCCCAGGGCUCAACCCUGGAAUUGCCUUCGAUACUGGGAGUCUUGAGUUCGGAAGAGGUUGGUGGAACUGCGAGUGUAGAGGUGAAAUUCGUAGAUAUUCGCAAGAACACCGGUGGCGAAGGCGGCCAACUGGUCCGAAACUGACGCUGAGGCGCGAAAGCGGGGGGAGCAAGCAGG